Molecule: ribosomal RNA, 435 nt
Filed under: uncultured bacterium
Lineage: Bacteria
Description: partial 16S ribosomal RNA
Rfam family: Bacterial small subunit ribosomal RNA
Source: RNAcentral
GAUGAACGCUGGCGGUAUGCUUAACACAUGCAAGUCGAACGGACUCUUCGGAGUUAGUGGCGGACGGGUGAGUAACGCGUGAGAAUCUGGCUUUGGGUUCGGGACAACCACUGGAAACGGUGGCUAAUACCGGAUGUGCCGAGAGGUAAAAGAGAAAUUGCCUGAAGAUGAGCUCGCGUCUGAUUAGCUAGUUGGUGAGGUAAAGGCUCACCAAGGCAGCGAUCAGUAGCUGGUCUGAGAGGAUGACCAGCCACACUGGGACUGAGACACGGCCCAGACUCCUACGGGAGGCAGCAGUGGGGAAUUUUCCGCAAUGGGCGAAAGCCUGACGGAGCAAUACCGCGUGAGGGAAGAAGGCUCUUGGGUUGUAAACCUCUUUUCUUAGGGAAGAACAAAAUGACGGUACUUAAGGAAUCAGCAUCGGCUAACUCCGUG